UUCUGGUUGAUCCUGCCGGACCCGACUGCUAUCGGAUUGAGACUAAGCCAUGCGAGUCAACCCGCAAGGGUGGCGGACGGCUCAGUAACACGUAGUGAACCUGCCCUGGGGACGUGGACAACCAUGGGAAACUGUGGCUAAACCGCGAUAGGUCAUUGUUUCUGGAAUGGGCAAUGGCUCAAACCUACAUGGCCCCAGGAUGGCACUGCGGCCGAUCAGGUUGUUGGUGAGGUAAUGGCCCACCAAGCCUGUAACCGGUACGGGCUCUGAGAGGAGGAGCCUGGAGAUGGGCACUGAGACAAGGGCCCAGGUCCUAUGGGACGCAGCAGGCGCGAAACCUUCGCAAUAGGCGAAAGCCUGACGAGGUUAUUCCGAGUGUUCCCUGCUAAAGGGAUCUUUUGCCAGCUCUAAAAAUGCUGGUGAAUAAGGGGUGGGCAAGCCUGGUGUCAGCCGCCGCGGUAAUACCAGCACCCCGAGUGGUCGGGAUGAUUAUUUGGCCUAAAGCAUCCGUAGCCGGCGCAUCAAGUCUUCCGUUAAAUCCACCUGCUCAACAGAUGGGUUGCGGGAGAUACUGCUGCGCUAGGAGGCGGGAGAGGCGAGGGGUAUUCCAUGGGUAGGGGUAAAAUCCUCUGAUCCAUGGAGGACCACCAGUGGCGAAGGCGUCUCGCCAGAACGCGCUCGACGGUGAGGGAUGAAAGCUGGGGGAGCAAACCGGAUUAGAUACCCGGGUAGUCCCAGCUGUAAACGAUGUAGGCUCGGUGAUGGACUGGAUUCGAUCCAGCCCAGUGCCGCAGGGAAGCCGUUAAGCCUACCGCCUGGGGAGUACGGUCGCAAGACUGAAACUUAAAGGAAUUGGCGGG
This 860-nucleotide ribosomal RNA is filed under the name uncultured Thermoprotei archaeon. Its description in RNAcentral is "bacterial SSU rRNA". It matches the Rfam family "Archaeal small subunit ribosomal RNA", at positions 1 to 872 of the family's 1478-position model. Lineage: Archaea; Thermoproteati; Thermoproteota; Thermoprotei. The record is from RNAcentral.